CAAGGUUAACGUAGGAUAGUCGCAAAUCUUUGAUGAGAAAGUUGAUAGUAAGAUUCAUAACAGCAUUUUUAGCACUUGUGAGUACUACUGAUAUAAAAAUAAGCUAUGACAACUGCUCGCUGUAAGAACUUGGAAAUUCCUACAUGGUGUUGGUUUUCAUUAGCAUUAUAUGUUUGUUAGUUGAUGGUACCUAACUUCAUCCUGGUGACAAAUAAAUUAAAACAACAUCACAAGCUUAUGGGCAUCUUCAAAUUGAGUCUGCAAAUCAACUUAUGAGUGGUGACUUGAGUAAUAUGUUGCUUGGUAGAUGGGCCUAUCAGCACAUUAAAGGUGCCUCAGCAGGUGUUGGAUGGUAAAAAUAUAUUUACCAUAAUGCUAUACCCUUUUCUAGAUCUUUCCAUGUUGUGAAGGUUGAUCUUUAGCAAGCUACCAACUAAUGAUAUUUUUGAGAAAGCAAGGGCUUUUAUGAUUCAUCUUUUUUAGAAUGUUGUGUGGCGAGUAGAAUUUGGUCUUGGUUACUUGAUCUACUAAGGAUUCCAAUUCUUAUUCAUUCCUUGCAUAAUGUUUGGACAAUCUUUCACUUGGAAUGGAACAACAGGAAUGAGAUCAGAUUUGAUAACAGAAAGAUGAACUAUCUUGGCAUUAAAAGUAGCACUUUUUUUUCCUUUGUUAACACAGCUGGAACUUGUUGCUCUGGUUCCAAGCAUAAUAAUAUACAUGAGCUCUCUCUUUUGAAAUUAUUUUUCUCUUGGAGCUCAUUCCAAAAGUCAAUUAAAGUUACUCAAG
RNAcentral lists this small RNA (786 nucleotides) under Vigna angularis var. angularis. RNAcentral describes it as "Non-protein coding transcript". The record is from RNAcentral. Lineage: Eukaryota; Viridiplantae; Streptophyta; Magnoliopsida; Fabales; Fabaceae.